GAAUCGGUUGUUAGAAUGCUAAUAAUUUUUUUAUUUUAUUAACAAUUGUGAUAUUUCAUUUUACUAGAGUCAUAAGUAAGAGUCCUCGUAAGUUUAGCUCAGUUGGCAUAAACAAUGCAUAAUAUAUGUAAAAUUUGGGAUUCAAACUCCAACCAGUAUAAAAUAAAGAGUCAUAAGUAAGAAAAGUAAUUGUAACCAUAGCUACAAAUUCAUAGAAUUCUAUUAAUUGUAAGAAACUACUUGUACUCUAAAGAAAUAUAUUAGGCAGUUCCAUAAUGGAUGUCCCCUUCAGCUAUAAUCCAAUAAUUUGCACCAACUUGACGUUACUCAAAGCCACUAAGCCUAUGUUGUGUUUGAGACCAGGUAGUUAAAACAUAAAGUAGCUUGCUAAAUUGUGGUCCUCAGUCCUCACUCGUCAAGAGGAUGUAGAAUAAAGAUAAUGGUGUUGUUGUAAUGCCAUGCCCUGUUAUGCAUACGUGGCCAUGCUCCUCUCAACUUCCACUUUGAAUUUAGGAUAUAAUAAUGAAGAAUAACAUAUCACAAUUUGGUCUCCUAGUUGAAGAGCAAACCAAGUAAUCUCAGUUGCAAGCUGACUUGUUUUUGUUUGCCACGUAAAGAGCUUGAUCACCAUAAAUUUUUUAGUACCACGUAAGCUUGUACUUCUUUUGACUCAGCUUCUUAUCCAGUAUCCACAAUUUCUCAUUCUCAUGGUCAACAGGUGCUUUGACGUGUCCUCGUGGCAAUUUUGAUGGACACGUGGCGGGAUUAUGUUUAACAAAGUGUGGAAGGGAAGACUUGGAGCAUUUUGUAGUGACUAGACGUGAGGAUGGGUUGUGGAUAAGUUGUGAGGACUUUUUGGUAUCCAGCGUGGAUUUGAUUUCGAGUCUAUUUCUUGUAUUUCCCUUGUAUGGCCACGUUAUCUUGGUGGCGAGUAUUUGAUCUUGUGUUUCAAAUGUCUUCUAACACGAGGAUAUCUUAGGAGUGAAUUGACAUGUUGAUAUUCCAGUUCUCUAAUCAACUGAAAUUAAAACACUACUACUAUUAAGACUCAAAGUGUCUCGAUUAUAAGAGCAACACUACACAUAAAUUUCUAGCAUAAAGUAUAUAACAUUUCUUUGUUGAAUCAGUAGUAUAUAACAUUUAUAAUGUUCGAAAGCAUAAAUACAAAUUUUAUAAUUGAGAACUGAUUUAGGAUGUUUUUA
RNAcentral lists this long non-coding RNA (1202 nucleotides) under Medicago truncatula (barrel medic). Its description in RNAcentral is "long non-coding RNA (MTRU_LNC001313)". Lineage: Eukaryota; Viridiplantae; Streptophyta; Magnoliopsida; Fabales; Fabaceae. The record is from RNAcentral.